GAAAGAUUAAUACCGGAUGGCAUACGAAUAUCGCAUGANAUUUUUAUUUAAAGAAUUUCGGUUAUCGAUGGGGAUGCGUUCCAUUAGUUUGUUGGCGGGGUAACGGCCCACCAAGACUACGAUGGAUAGGGGUUCUGAGAGGAAGGUCCCCCACAUUGGAACUGAGACACGGUCCAAACUCCUACGGGAGGCAGCAUG
Molecule: ribosomal RNA, 198 nt
Filed under: uncultured bacterium
Lineage: Bacteria
Description: partial 16S ribosomal RNA
Rfam family: Bacterial small subunit ribosomal RNA
Source: RNAcentral